UACGUAGGGCGCAAGCGUUAUCCGGAAUUAUUGGGCGUAAAGAGCUCGUAGGCGGUUUGUCGCGUCUGCCGUGAAAGUCCGGGGCUCAACUCCGGAUCUGCGGUGGGUACGGGCAGACUAGAGUGAUGUAGGGGAGACUGGAAUUCCUGGUGUAGCGGUGAAAUGCGCAGAUAUCAGGAGGAACACCGAUGGCGAAGGCAGGUCUCUGGGCAUUAACUGACGCUGUGGAGCGAAAGCAUGGGGAGCGAACAGG
This 253-nucleotide ribosomal RNA is filed under the name uncultured bacterium. RNAcentral describes it as "partial 16S ribosomal RNA". It matches the Rfam family "Bacterial small subunit ribosomal RNA", at positions 524 to 776 of the family's 1533-position model. The record is from RNAcentral.